GACGAACGCUGGCGGCGUGCUUAACACAUGCAAGUCGAACGGAAAGGCCCUGCUUUUGUGGGGUGCUCGAGUGGCGAACGGGUGAGUAACACGUGAGUAACCUGCCCUUGACUUUGGGAUAACUUCAGGAAACUGGGUCUAAUACCGGAUAGGAGCUCCUGCUGCAUGGUGGGGGUUGGAAAGUUUCGGCGGUUGGGGAUGGACUCGCGGCUUAUCAGCUUGUUGGUGGGGUAGUGGCUUACCAAGGCUUUGACGGGUAGCCGGCCUGAGAGGGUGACCGGCCACAUUGGGACUGAGAUACGGCCCAGACUCCUACGGGAGGCAGCAGUGGGGAAUAUUGCACAAUGGGCGGAAGAAUGAUGCAGCAACGCCGCGUGCGGGAUGACGGCCUUCGGGUUGUAAACCGCUUUCGCCUGUGACGAAGCGUGAGUGACGGUAAUGGGUAAAGAAGCACCGGCUAACUACGUG
Molecule: ribosomal RNA, 468 nt
Filed under: uncultured bacterium
Lineage: Bacteria
Description: partial 16S ribosomal RNA
Rfam family: Bacterial small subunit ribosomal RNA
Source: RNAcentral